Molecule: long non-coding RNA, 260 nt
Filed under: Sus scrofa (pig)
Lineage: Eukaryota; Metazoa; Chordata; Mammalia; Artiodactyla; Suidae
Description: lncRNA (ENSSSCG00060024582.1)
Source: RNAcentral
UGCGGUUGGAUGGAAUGACCAGGCAAAAGAGCUCUGGGGGUAUUCCUCCUCAUUCUGCUAUGAUUCCCGAGGCCUGAGCAGAUUAAAGAUAGGGUUGAUUCUGCAGUUAGGGGUAACUGCUCAGCUUGCGUCUUCAUCUCUCCUUCCGACUUCCCGAUGGGUAACCGACAUCUGAACCAUCCAUGUUUCCCCUGCAGAAUUACCUCGUCGGUCUAGAAGGUGACGUGGAUCAGUAAGCUGGUGGCAAUUUUGGCCACCGC